This 1100-nucleotide long non-coding RNA is filed under the name Mus pahari (shrew mouse). RNAcentral's name for it is "lncRNA (MGP_PahariEiJ_G0005955.1)". Lineage: Eukaryota; Metazoa; Chordata; Mammalia; Rodentia; Muridae. The record is from RNAcentral.
AGUUCUUCAUACUGAGAAGGGUGGGAUGCAGGAAUGGAGUCCACAGGCUCUGGCUGCAACACACCAUGGUUCUGGCACUAGCCAAGAGCUGACCUUUCCUAAGUCAAUAUAGGAAACUCCCCUCCAGGAGAGGAGUGGUGUGAGGUCUGAGCACACGCUGAAACCUCCAUGGAGAUCCACAGGUACCGGGGAAGCUAACAGCCAAACAUUGAACCACUGUGUGAUUCAUCCAGCCCAUAUGGAGACUUUGCCAAGGACCCCUUUUUCCUCAGAUGAGGAGACCCUUUGAGAGACAAGCAUACAUCAGUGCCUCUGACUCAGAAUCUAUGUUUCUGGAUGCAGCUAGAGGCACAGUGCUAAACUUCUUGGCACUUUGGUGUUCUAAGCUGAUGUCGCCCUUCUGUGGAUGGAUGGAUUAGCUAUCAUGGCAUCUACUCAGAGUUUAAGAGCAUCCCAUAGAAGGAGAUACAUUCACACACAGUUUUCAGCUACAGUGAGUGAUGUCCGCCUUGAAAGAGUCUUGGACUCUGGAGAAUAAUGUACACUGGACAAUCUUGAUGUAGCAAAGAUCAAUGUGUGCUGGAUCCCACGUGGGAACAGCUAGAAGACACCAAAAGGAAGAGUUGCACAAACCCAAAGAUCAGUGGAUAGUUGUACUAGGUAUAAGCACCUUGAAAGCCACUCCCGAGACGACCAUCAAACAGCCAGGGUUCUGGCAGAAGUCACUCCACUCAGCACAUCCUGCGCACAGAAACCUUACUCUCCUUGGCCAAGUCUUUACAAUUGUGAACUUAUUUCCUUCACAUUUGCUUCUGGAGGGUGGAGGGAGGCACCUAAGGUUCAGUAGAGAAAGGAAACUUACAGGAGUGAGCAGACUCAUGGGGGCUUAGCAAGCUCUUUAGACUUAACAAAAGUCACAAGUCUCCUCCCCAAAGUUAUGUAUUGAGUAAUGAUUGCUAAGGAGAGGCAAUUACCUAAGGAACAGAGCUGGUUGAACUCCAGAGAUGCAUUUUCAUGAAUCAUCAGCCAUAAUGGGUUGGGUUUUUAGUGGUCCAGCUGCCUUGGAAUCAUCGAGUAGCUCAAUAAACUCAUUGGUUUGC